Long non-coding RNA from Physeter macrocephalus (sperm whale), 294 nucleotides. RefSeq lists it as uncharacterized. Lineage: Eukaryota; Metazoa; Chordata; Mammalia; Artiodactyla; Physeteridae. The record is from RefSeq and is a predicted model, not a curated record. The transcript is spliced from 3 exons.
AGGUAAUAGUUCAGAGAUAUGCUUUGGAAAGACUACUUCAUCAGGUUAUAUGGAAAACUGGGAAACAUUUGGAGCUGUGCAGACAACUCAGAAAGUCAUCACAACAAUUGAGAAAUUUUACCCCCAAUAAAUGUCUUGCAUGCCUGAAUCCACAUUGUCAUCUUUUUCCUGGAGAACUGUAUCAAUGAUACCAGCAAUGGCCUAAGAAACCAGGUUGUAGAUUAGGAAUUUGAAGCACAAGAGAAGUUAAAUAAUUUUCCUGGCAUCCUAUAACUGAAAAGACUUCAAACCCAG